Molecule: ribosomal RNA, 527 nt
Filed under: uncultured Pseudomonadota bacterium
Lineage: Bacteria; Pseudomonadati; Pseudomonadota
Description: bacterial SSU rRNA
Rfam family: Bacterial small subunit ribosomal RNA
Source: RNAcentral
AGUGGGGAAUCUUGGACAAUGGGGGCAACCCUGAUCCAGCGACGCCGCGUGGGUGAUGAAGGCCUUCGGGUUGUAAAGCCCUUUCACCGGGGACGAUGAUGACGGUACCCGGAGAAGAAGCACCGGCUAACUCCGUGCCAGCAUCCGCGGUAAGACGGAGGGUGCUAGCGUUGUUCGGAAUCACUGGGCGUAAAGGGCGCGUAGGCGGCCAAGGCAGUCGGCUUUGUGAAAGCCCGGGGCUCAACCCCGGAGGUGCGGCCGAUACUCCUUGGCUGGAGGCCGGAAGAGGAGGGUGGAAUACCCAGUGUAGAGGUGAAAUUCGUAGAUAUUGGGUGGAACACCGGUGGCGAAAGCGGCUCUCUGGUCCGGACCUGACGCUGAGGCGCGAAAGCGUGGGGAGCAAACAGGAUUAGAUACCCUGGUAGUCCACGCCCUAAACGAUGUGGGCUAGGCGUCGGGGGGCUUGCCCUUCGGUGCCGCAGCUAACGCGUUAAGCCCACCGCCUGGGGAGUACGGCCGCAAGGUUA